This 409-nucleotide ribosomal RNA is filed under the name uncultured soil bacterium. RNAcentral describes it as "bacterial SSU rRNA". It matches the Rfam family "Bacterial small subunit ribosomal RNA", at positions 26 to 452 of the family's 1533-position model. The record is from RNAcentral.
AGAACGAACGCUGGCGGCAUGCCUAACACAUGCAAGUCGAACGAGACCUUCGGUUCUAGUGGCGCACGGGUGCGUAACGCGUGGGAACCUGCCCUAAGGUUCGGAAUAACUUCCCGAAAGGGAUGCUAAUACCGGAUAAUGUCUUCGGACCAAAGAUUUAUCGCCUUGGGAUGGGCCCGCGUUGGAUUAGCUAGUUGGUGGGGUAAAGGCCUACCAAGGCGACGAUCCAUAGCUGGUCUGAGAGGAUGAUCAGCCACACUGGGACUGAGACACGGCCCAGACUCCUACGGGAGGCAGCGAGGUGGGGAAUAGUUAGGACAAGUGGGACGAAAGCCUGAUCCGAGCAAUGCCGCGUGAGUGAGUGGAAGGUCCGUUAGGGUUAGUAAAGUCUUACGUUUUACGUGGGGAU